GCUGGGUGUGGUGACACACACCUGUAAUCUCAGCUACUUGGGAUGCUGAAGCUGGAGGAUCAUUUUUUCAAGGCUGCCUGGGUGACUUACUGAGAUUGUGUCUCAAAAUGAAGUGAAAAGGGGCUGAGGACAGAGCUUAGGCAGUAGAACGCUUGCCUAGAAUGUGCAAGGCCCUGGCUUCCA
Molecule: small RNA, 183 nt
Filed under: Marmota monax (woodchuck)
Lineage: Eukaryota; Metazoa; Chordata; Mammalia; Rodentia; Sciuridae
Source: RNAcentral